This 397-nucleotide long non-coding RNA is filed under the name Macaca mulatta (Rhesus monkey). RNAcentral's name for it is "lncRNA (ENSMMUG00000063545.1)". The record is from RNAcentral. Lineage: Eukaryota; Metazoa; Chordata; Mammalia; Primates; Cercopithecidae.
CUAUUGCUUCUACCUUUGAGGAUACCACCUUCUUCGGGCUCUUUAACCUCCAGGACACGCUUGACCUGAAAGCCUGUCUUCAAGAAUGUAAUUGGAAAACUCACACAGUGGACCUUUUGACAACUUCCAAUUGCAUCUCUUCUCAUCAUAUUGCCUACACAAUCUACGUGAUUUGGCCCUGUCUACUUCAUAUCAGCAUGAAGAAUGCAAGCCAAAGAAAAGAUUUUGGCAGAUGAAAGGCUGUAAUUAAUGAAGGUGUUUAUGAUGAGGCUUCAGACAACUUGAUUGCCAAACAUUGUAUUUGAAAUUUGAGAUGCCCCGUAAUAAAGGUAGACUCCGUGAGUAUUUUCCAAAUAAAUCCAUUUCAGAUAAGGACAAAUGAGUAAUGCCUAAAGCC